GUUUCUGGCCCUGCCAGUGUCUCCGCCGGUUGAAAGCGCGUGUCUGCGUCGGGUUCUGUUGGAGUGCGUUCGGUGCGCCGUGGGUCCGCGCUGCUUCCACCCAACUUCCUGUUAGUUUCUCUCCUGUCACAAUGGCAUGAUCUCGGCUCACUGCGACCUCUGCUUCCUGGGUUCAAGGAUUCUCCUGCCUCAGCCUCCCAAGUAGCUGGGAUUACAGGAAUCUCACCAGUGACACGCGUUUGUGAAAAGCUGUGAAUAUUCAGUGCCACAGGGUUAAACCUCGGUACAGAAGCGAGACCCUGCUGGGCAGAGAAAGGGUGACCUGGAAGGUGUGUGAGGGCCCCGCCCAUGGGCCCCUGUGAUGGUCAUGGCCUCAAGAAUCACAGUCCAGGUGAGGCCCUGAAUAUCCACAGCCAGGACCAGUUCCCUCUGCUCUUGGGUGCCAAGGCCACCGUCAGCCAGGAGAGGCCUGCAGAAUCAGCCUGUGCACCUCUCUGACGAUAAGCAGAGAUGCUGGUUUAGAGACUUGCUACUCACGGGGAAGUCCUUGGGCCUCCUGUACUCACAUUACCUGGAACUUCUUGGAAAUUCAGAAUCUCAGGCCCCAACCCAGACGGACUGAAUCAAAAUCUUCAUUGUGGUAAGACCCUCGGUGACACACAGGCCUGGGAAGCACAGGUUAGCGUGUCACCUUGGGCAAAGCUCUCAGCAUUGUGAGCCUCUGUUUUCUACUCUGUAAAGGAGGCAUGAAUAUCUACAACAUCAGUUUGCCAUGAGUAUUGAAAAAUAAUGUCUUAGAAGCACAGGGCAGAGCCUGGCAUGUAGUUUGUGCUCAGUGCACAGCAGACAAGAAACCACAUGCACCAGACCUGGGCGGCCGUCGGCAGCCCACCCUGAGCAACCAUGGGUGGCCCUCUUGUCUCUCGGGACAAGAAAUGCUUCUUUAGAAAUGCUUCUUUCCUUUCUAAAAUGAAAGUUUUGGACAGUAUUUCCUUUCAUUUAAAAAUUUCAUCUGUGUAUUUGAUGGCCUCUGUUGUUUCUUUCCUGAAACUCCUGCUAACAUACUGGGAGCUGAAGAAGGGCUCCGUGAAGGCGAGUAGGGGUGCCUGUCCCUCCCAGGGAGGAGCUUCCCUCCUCUCACCUGCUGCACGAGCCCUAGUGCUUCACCAACUCCAGCCUCAGUGCCCUGACACUGGGGGAGGGAAAGGAAGCGCACGCACCAGCCGUUCCACCCACCGAAGUUGUUUGGUCCCAAUCUGCAAAAUCAGUUAAACGUCUUCCUGCCUGGCAGCAGAUCAAAGGGUGAGGGGUCUGGGACAGACAGAGACGGCUAGAGAAUGGAUGGUGAAGUGCUCAGAGGCCCUGUGGGCUAUCCCACACUCGGCGGAAGACAGCAACACCAUCAAAUCUCCACCCUUUGUUAUCCAUGACUUAAAGAAAAGUGAACAGGGAGGUGGACAACUGUGCAAAGACUGGCUGGAGUCAAAUCCUGGGCAUAGGUGAAGCAUCGAGAAUGCUUGUCACACGUUUGAAUGUGCAGGGGGACUCUGACUGGAAGCUCCUAGCAGAGGCUGAAGACACUGGUUAGGUCCUGGUGCGUGCCUUGGGAUGCAUCCCAGGCAACGGGCCCAGGAGCUUGAGGUCAUGUCCACCUGGCUCACCAGGGAGUCCUGCACCAUUCUUCAAACCUAACUGGAAGAGACACUGAUCCUUCCUCCCACCUAAGGGCUCCCAGAGCCACAGGUCUCCGACUCUCCUGCAACACCUCCUGCUGCCUGUUCCCACCGCCCAUGAUUCACUCAGUCACCAUCCUCAGCAGCACCCGACAGCCUCUGUGUGUCUGUGUCACUCACCAUUACCAGCCCCCUGGGUGCCCAAUGCAUGUAUGUUAGACAGAACAAAUGCACGGCGGCCUUCAGCAGCACCGACCGCGUCAACCCCUCUGUGCUCACACCAGGAGUGAUCAGCGCACACGCCCUCCCACAGGAUGGGAGAAGGUGAUAACAGCUGAGCUGGGUGUCCAGAAGCCAGCCCCACCCCACAGCCACUACUGAGAGGUUAUGAGAUCAUGGCCUUAUCCCGAGUAAUGCUGCUGCAGUGAACUGGGACUUUUUUCCUCUGAAUUCAAAGGUGGGGCAGUCUAGGCACCUGGAUGCACCAUCUGCUCUGUCCCGGCCUGGUGGCUGCUCACUGUGGGAUGCUGUGCAAUUAGACAGUUACUAUCUUUCCCUGGUUGACGGAUUAGAGUUUCCCUUUUCUGAGCAUCUUGUUUUGAAGUGAUCCGAAGUGUUUAGGGUUAAAGAGCGUGAUUUUCCCAAACUGUCCAAAGAAAUAGAAGCAGGUCUGCAAGAGGGGGGUGCCCAGAGCCUUGAGAUGGAAGCGAGAUGGGGUGAGACCUGGGGAGCUCUCCAGGCCGCCGGGAAGCUGCACGUCAUCCUCUGGACCUCUUUGCUGACUGUGUGCUGUCACCACAGCAGCCGCCUUCUCUCAUCUGUAAACAGGAUUUUACGUAAAUUUCCAUACACUUGGUUGUUGACAAUUAAGUAGAUUGUUUUUAAAGAUACUUGAAAUGAUAUCAGAAUUUCCUAAAUAUAUCAUUAAAACAGGAAACUUAGUUACCUACUCACUCGAAUCACUAGAGAAUACCAAAUAGGAAUAGGAAGAUAACACACUGGUAAGAAAAAUGUCCAAGGCCAAUCACAGGAGUCAAAGCUCGUGAUCAAAUCAGCUCUGCCUGGGGAGGCCGUGCUCAUGGCACCAUUUAGUGACAAGUGGGUGACUCUGGGGCAAGUUCCAGGGGUGUCACCCCCAAGGCAGCAGCUCAGGUGCAGCCACCAUGGAGGCAGUUUCACUGAGGGGCCCUCUGAGGCCCCUACUCUGAGAUUCUAAGACAGGGUUUGAAGAAUGUUCCAGCAUUUGAACACAUGAACCCUAUGAUGUCCUGCUGUGAGAGAGAACAAUGUCCCAAUUUUGCCCAGUUUCCAUCAUUAUCUUCUAUGGAGUUCUUCAUUCCCACAUCUGUGGACCUUAAAAUCCUACCGUUGAGUGCCUGCCUUGGAUCAGCAGUCAGUUCGUUACCUUGGUUCUCAGACGAUGCUUGCAACAACGCCAUGCGAUUCGCCCACUCUUGGAGAAAAUAAGAGAAGUAUCCCUGAAGGAUGAAAUAUCCUCGAAUAUGAAAAGGUCUGCUCUCUGAAGACCAACUGUCUCAGUCUGCUUUUUGCUGCUGUAACAGAAUACCACAGACUUGGUUACAUUAGUUAUACACUCUGGAGGUGACUUGACCUGUCAUUGUGAACAAUUAUUGCUCUUGGACGACCCAGGACAUAGGCCAGCCAGUACGUACCCCAGUGUGUUGGAGAAUCGCGCUCGGCUUCUUCCUCUGUGCUGAGUCAUGAAAGUUGCCGGAGCAGGUGCAGUUACACAACCUCCAGGUAUGAUCCUGUUUAAGGACUGGAUUUAGGAUAACUACUUAGAGGUUAAAAGUCACAAGGGUGUAUGGAUGAGGCUGGAGUGAUCUGGGACCAAAGACAUCUAGGCUUGCUGUCAAGGCUUCUGAUCAACAUGAGAUGACCGCCGUGUGGUAAACUGAUGAACCCUGACCCUGAUCAACAUGAGAUGACCGCCGUGUGGUAAACUGAUGAACCCCGACCCUGAUGAACGUGAGAUGACCGCCGUGUGGUAAACUGAUGAACCCCGACCCUGAUGAACGUGAGAUGACCGCCGUGUGGUAAACUGAUGAACCCCGACCCUGAUGAACGUGAGAUGACCGCCGUGUGGUAAACUGAUGAACCCCGACCCUGAUGAACGUGAGAUGACCGCCGUGUGGUAAACUGAUGAACCCCGACCCUGAUCAACGUGAGAUGACCGCCGUGUGGUAAACUGAUGAACCCCGACCCUGAUGAACAUGAGAUGACCGCCGUGUGGUAAACUGAUGAACCCCGACCCUGAUCAACAUGAGAUGACCGCCGUGUGGUAAACUGAUGAACCCCGACCCUGAUCAACAUGAGAUGACUGCCGUGUGGUAAACUGAUGAACCCUGACCCAUUAGGCUUUGGCUACAGAAUGUGGAAAUAAGUUGUGUUACUACAUGUGUGUAAUCCUAGGGUGCAGGACACCGGCCGGGAGGUUCCAUAGAGUGAUGGGUUCUGCAGGUAACUCAUCCUCUAGUCCUCUGUAAGCUCCUAGAAGGAAGAAAUUAUGUCCUUUAGACUAAUAAAAUUCCUCCAAACCAAAUACAGCACCUACUGUGAAGACACAAAGAUACUUUUAGAAUAGUAAAAACUUUAUCCAUUGAGAAAUUCCUUAAUGAAACAGUAUCCAAGAAGUCAUUUGCCAGCAGAUUUCUUAGAGGUGCGAUAAAGAAGAGGACAUUGCCAGUCGUCACAGCAGCUGCAAUAGCUCCUCUCUAUUGUUAAACAGUGGGAUAUCUUGUGCAGGUUUUCAGUUGACAAUCAAUUUUAAAGAUUAGUUUCGGUCCCCAUCAAUCAAUUAUUUAUUAACCCAUCAAUAAAAAUUUAAAUGCUCUGUGAGGUACAAUAGCUAUUAAAAGAGACAGAGGCACUUUCUGUGUCCAGAGGGGCUUUUAGUCUGCUCUGGAAAGCAAGAUGCGUGCAGAUGAGUGACGCAGUGCAUCGUGUGGAUGCAAAGGGAGGGACUCACAUGGGAACCAGAGGAGCUACGAAGGGAGGCAGUGGGGACUGGUGGGUCGAGACCUGGAAAUAACACAUGAAUAGGCAACAAAGGUUUCCUUUCCUCUUCCAUGCACUUCAGUCCUUGAAAAACGUCUUACCACGGAAUUCCACAGCGUACCAAGCGAUUCCACAGCUUGAUGGCACACUCUCCUUUCUCAGCAUUCUUGAAAAUGGCGUGUGAGCCAAGCCAUCUUACUGAGAAAUUACCUUAAACCAUUUGAUGAACCAAAAAUAUUUUGUAAUACCCAUCUCCGACAUUAGGUAGGCAAAUCACACAGAAACACCGAGGUCUUCUGAGUCAUAUUUAUCUGAAAAAUCACAGCUUGGGUGCAUGUGAAGCCAGAGGAGCACUCCUGGGGCCUGCGGUGCCAUCACUCAGCUCCCCUGGGCUUCACAUGGCCAUGGAGCACCCAGCAAGUGUAGGCUCUGAGCCUUCAGGGAGGGGCGGCAUCAGCCAGCACCAUCGUCUCCUGGGUCUUGUGCCUCUUCCUUGGUUGCGGUGUUGUCAGGGCCAGAAUUGGGCAAUUCCGGGUGACAUCCAGGUGUGGCUGCUGACACGGAGCACAGGUGAGGUUCACUGAGGACACCCUGCUCCUGUGGUUUGCAGCCCCGGCCUUCUCUUCGAGGACGCCUCUGCUCUUCUGCCUCACACUCGGAUUGGACCUUCUUCAGCACAGCCAGUGGCCGAGGCUUCCUCCCUGGGGCUCAGUGGAGCAGGACAGAUGCUGCAUCCAAACUCUUCCAUUGGGUUCCAGUCUGUUCCAGUCAUGCCCUUGAGCCUCUAAAGCUCCUAGGUGAGAGACGUAGCAGCUGACAGCACUUCCCACUUGAUUUGGGUGGACUCCAGCCUCCCCAGCAACAAUAAGAGAUCAAAAGCAUCGUUGAGGAAGCAGCUUGCUGAAACGCUGAGUGCCCGCCACUCUCAGGUCAGGUGGGACCGGCAGGCCAGCAUGAGUUCCUGAACACUUGGUUCUCAAUACUGGCCACAGCCACACUGUAAGGGGAAACAAGAGGGCACUGUAUGCAAACAUCUCUUGAACUCUGGAGUCUGCUCACCUUCCUGCCUCAAGCCCCUCUCCCACGUGGUCCAGUCACCAUUCUCCACAGAGACUACCCUAAAACCCAGCGACUCUCGUGUGCCUGCAGAAUGGCACAGCCCGUUCUCAUAGCAGCACUCCUGUUUAAUCAGAGGGAUGUUAACGACCAAGUCAUAUUUGCUCGAUUUGUGUUCAACAUAUUUCAUUUGUACCGAUAAAACUUAAAAAUAUCCCCACACAUGCAUUGCCUAUUAAAGAGUAUCUUCCAGGUACACCUCCCUUACACAUCAGUUAACUUGAUAAUUUCUUCCCAUUCUUGUGCAAUAAAUUUCCUUCCUGAUCAGCUCUGUCCAGCAGCAACAAUAAUCCACGUAGAGACAUGCAAACUAAAAGUCCGUUAGUGGAGGCACGAAGCUGAUGAGGCUUGGAAAAAAAUGACCGAUUUGAUUAAAAUUAGGACCCAUGGGAGUGGAGCUCUGCCUAUUUUAGAGGCAAAGUAAAUGCCUGGGAGUCCAAUCACCGACAUUCUGUUUGAGGUUUCUAAUCACAAGGAAGAUGGAGAAAAUGCAGAACAAGUGGUCAAGAACAGGGAGAUAAUAAAUAGAAUAUUUAUGGGCUGAGGAAAACAAUUACCAGGGGAAAGCCCAAGAAGCAAAGAUGAACAGAGAACGUGCUGACUGCGCUCGUUUGGAAAGGCCUCAUGGCCAAAGGAGGAGAGGCAUUAUGAGGAGCAGUGACCGAGUGGGCAGGACCCCCGGGGAUCAGGAAAGGUGCACGGGGGGAAAUGAGAGGCCUGAGCGGCUUCCCAGCGAAGGUUUUUGAAGCACGGUUUGAUUUUCUCUCUCCCCCUCACCAUCCCCA
Molecule: long non-coding RNA, 6592 nt
Filed under: Homo sapiens (human)
Lineage: Eukaryota; Metazoa; Chordata; Mammalia; Primates; Hominidae
Description: HSALNT0289668
Source: RNAcentral